UACGGGGGGGGCAAGCGUUGUUCGGAAUUACUGGGCGUAAAGGGCUCGUAGGCGGCCAACUAAGUCAGACGUGAAAUCCCUCGGCUUAACCGGGGAACUGCGUCUGAUACUGGAUGGCUAGAGGUUGGGAGAGGGAUGCGGAAUUCCAGGCGUAGCGGUGAAAUGCGUAGAUAUCUGGAGGAACACCGGUGGCGAAGGCGGCAUCCUGGACCAAUUCUGACGCUGAGGAGCGAAAGCCAGGGGAGCAAACGGG
RNAcentral lists this ribosomal RNA (253 nucleotides) under uncultured bacterium. RNAcentral's name for it is "partial 16S ribosomal RNA". It matches the Rfam family "Bacterial small subunit ribosomal RNA", at positions 524 to 776 of the family's 1533-position model. The record is from RNAcentral.